This 969-nucleotide long non-coding RNA is filed under the name Prunus persica (peach). RNAcentral's name for it is "long non-coding RNA (PPER_LNC002670)". The record is from RNAcentral. Lineage: Eukaryota; Viridiplantae; Streptophyta; Magnoliopsida; Rosales; Rosaceae.
CGGAGAGUGCGUGUUGUGUUAUCAAGGUCGGUCCUGGGUGAUCUAAGGCCCAUGACAAAAUUUCAGAGUUUGCCCUCCAUAGAUAAAUUAAUUAUUAAAUUUACUUUUUUUUUAUUCAAAUUAUAAGAGUUUACAAAAGAUAAUAGAGAAUACUUUGGGGCAUCGUUAAAACCCUGUUUAAGCAAAAACCUAAAAUGAAGGAAAAAGAGUACCCGACAUCAAAAACAUUAUAUUCAACAACAAAUUAACUAAGUGUCCAUAUGUGUCAGCUUCAAUAUCCUCCACAAUUAAUCAAAUCAAACCAGCAUCAUAUGUACCUACAAGAAAAUAUUUAUUCAAAGAUCCUCUUAAACUUUCAACAACCUCUUCUUCUUUUUUCUUUCUUUGUCUUUUGAGAUUUCCAGAAAGUUGUUUUUUAGGAAACAUUUUUUUUAACAAGCACACAAGUAAUAAGAAUAAAACUAAAGAACAGACAGAGAACAAUAAAACCUAGAUUUGAAACUUCAAACAGUUUGUGCCAAAUCCUUUCUCCAAACUUCAAACUUCAAUUUGAGCCCUUUCUCCACUUUGAAACUUCAAACUUCUGUCAUUAAAAAAAAAACUUCAAACCUGGAAUUACAAGAGCAAGAGUCUAUUAUCUAUCGCAAGUGAUUUGCAGAGCCAAAUAAAAAAUAACCCAGUUGAAAAUUUUCAAAAAAAUAAAAACCUUGUUGAAAGACUGGAUCCAGAUCCUUAUUACCCGCGCUUGCAAGAGUGAACCUGAAGAAGAACCUAUGUUUUACCUCUAAUAUUAAAUCGGAAGGCAUGGGAAAUGUAAAAAAUAGAGAUUCACUAUUAUACCUAAUAUAGGAGCCUAAAUUAUAAAUAAAUAAAUAACUCUAUAUGAAAUGAAUUUUAGAAAAACACCCAAAGCCUAUUUACAACAUUAAAAAAAAAAAGGCUUUUAACUUCUUUUAAAUUACAAAACUG